This is a long non-coding RNA of Bombus terrestris (buff-tailed bumblebee), 2471 nucleotides long. RefSeq lists it as uncharacterized. The record is from RefSeq and is a predicted model, not a curated record. NCBI's taxonomy places the organism in Eukaryota, Metazoa, Arthropoda, Insecta, Hymenoptera, Apidae. The transcript has 3 exons.
GGAAUGCUCUUGGGGCCGUGGGGGCACGGUUAGUACGAGAAACCCAGUUAACUUGGGCAGGUUGAUUACGCGCGGCAGGUGUCACGCGCUAAAGUUAUCAAGUUUCGUCUAACCGCGUGAAAUACCUUACGAAUUACAAGCAAGAGUUCUCUCCGCGCCCUUGCCUGUGCCGCAGUUAAUUGCACUCGCGACCAACGAGCACUUUCCGUUUGCGGAAAAGGCGAAACAAGGGACGGAAGAGAGAGUUGACCACCGCAACGCCACUUUCUACGCACCGCAGACUGUUCCCUCAAACUUUACCGCCUUCCUAAUUUCGUUCGUCGCGACUUUUGAUUAUGUCUGAUGCACCAGCCAUUGCAACAAGAAGGUCUAUUUUCUGCAAGUCUGCCAACACUUCUGAACGAAAGUGUACAUAAACACAGUAUCCAAGAGGAAUCAGAGGCAAAGGGUACGGCGUAGGUGAAACACAUGAGAGGAGAGGGAAGGAAAGCAACAAGAUACCAGUUGUCCGUAUAAUCUGUAGAUCUGACCGCGCGUGUUCUGCCCAUGAAUCCCGUGGGUGGUAACCGCCUCGAGGGCCUGAUUUACAGGUGUAACCAGCAAUAACGAUUCACGGGAACGAUCGAAAAAGGUGUAGAAGAAUACUCAAAUAGAAGAAUCAAUCGUAUUCCUGUUUUUGUUGCGUCUCUGCUUUUGUGCAGUGAUACAUAUUUGAAAGAGAAAAACGAGGUUUUUGGGUUUAUACUAUAUUCAUUUAAUUUCUUUAAUCAUUGCAGUUACAUCAUUUUCCAGUUAUUUCAAUUAUCGUUAAUUCAUUUUUAAUAAAAAUGAAUUGAAGUUAUCGGAAAAGAUAUUCUUAGAAAAAUUGAUUGAUAUGUAGAACAUUAAACGAUAUAAAUAAUCGUUCCGUAAAUGUAGUAACGAGAGAUAUAUCAAAGUUAAGUUAAUUCUUUAAAAUGGAACCUUGUAUUUUUAUGUUCAUAAUGGAGGUAUUUAAUAAAUACAAUUUUGGUUGCAGAAUUUGUCCCAUAAAUUAAAAUGUCUAGAAUUUCUAGAACGUCCUAGAAUCUUAAGUAUACAGUUAUGUACGAGUUUUCCAUAUGUCUGCAAAGAAAGAACGCACGUACUGUAAUCGCCCGAUCGGUGAAUGUCUCAAAUGUACAUAAAUGUAUUAAACACCCAUGGUGUUAGGUGGAAGAUAGAUUAAAGAAAACAACGUGAAUAGAUCCGGUGAAACUGUCUUGAUUUACGGCGCUAGAGUGUUAUAUCGACACACGUCUCUGCGUGAAUUGGUCACGUGCGUUUCAACCGAUCGCGCUCCAGUGCUUUCAUCAGGUGAACGUGACCGGUGAUUAUCGAUUAGACGCAUCUUCGAUCUUGCAUAGUAAUGCGAUCGUACAUCGUGAAAUCACGUAAUAGCUGUCGCGAGUGCGCGAAGGGAUUUGCAUCUGUCAAUCCGCAGUUACGACAUUCCCGUCGUGAGUGAGAUUACAAUGAUAUUGUUAUAUCGUUCAUACUUCUUCCUUUUUCUAAUUAAUAAUUGCUUGGAAACAAAGUCGUGGCUCGAUUAUUAUAUGAAAGGUCAUUUUAUAGUUAAUUAUCAAGUGACUUUACUUUAAAAAAUGUCUAUCUCAUCUAUCAUACUCCUCUAUCUUAUAACUUUUUACCAUCAUUUAUAAUUCCAGCACCCGAACAAUUCUUCAUCGUUUAAUCUCAGUGAUACAUAUAAAUCCGGAAGCCACUAUUUUCCGACCUGUACGUUAUACGUAAAACAGAACAAUACGUCAGAAGUAUGUCACAAGGAAACGUUAUAAAGAAAAAGCGUCAAGGAUAUAUCAAAUACGAAGAACAGAGUAAGAAAUGUAUUAAAUACGAAGUAAAAGUAUACAAAGUGUAUUAUAUUCAAAAUGGAACCAAUUACGAACAAUCCAGCAAUCGUAUAUACACAUACAGGAACCAAAAGGAUCAGUUAUGCUGGCAGAGAAUCGAUCAAUUGCCGGAUGAUCGCGUUUGACGCGUCAUCCGGAAAAAGUGACGAAUAAACGGACUAUUUGGAAAAAUGCUGGUCUUCGAAUUUUGUACUCGUUGAUGGCCAAAGGCCCGGACUUCCAGGCUGACAUAUGGGACGCAGCAAAGAGUGCAUGGUCGUCGUCACGUGAACAGGAAUUCAUCGUGAAACCGGUUGGUAUUGCCGCAGGAUCAAUCAACUCUUUUGGCAUUGUUCCCUUGGAAAAUGGCACAGGAUCGUCUCACGAGAUCGGCUUUCAGCCUUCUUUCGUAGGUUCUACGAAUAUCCAUCGUUUCAUAACACACGUUAGAAUACAACGUUCGCUAAAUGCUAUCUUCAACUCCUUUUCAUGUUUUGACAAAAGAACAGUUUUGUGGCACGAUGUAUUCAGCCUUAUAUGUAAUAUUUAUAUUUAGUAAAGCAUUAGUAUAUAGCAUGAAUAGAUAUCUUAACUGUAUAAUAU